UAAAUCCUAAAUAAAUCUUAAUCUCUAAAUAAAAUCCUAAUCAAAUCUUAAAUUCUAAAUUAAAUCCUAAUCAAAUCCUAAAUCAAAUCUUAAUCAAAUCCUAAUCCUAAAUCAAAUCCUAAUCAAAUCCUAACCAAAUCCUAACCCUAAAUCAAAUCCUAAUCAAAUCUUAAUCAAAUCUUAAAUACUAAACCAAAUCCUAACCAAAUCCUAAACAAAUCCUAAAUCCUAAAUAAAAUCUUAAUCAAAUCCUAAAUC
RNAcentral lists this long non-coding RNA (258 nucleotides) under Physcomitrium patens. Its description in RNAcentral is "long non-coding RNA (PPAT_LNC004662)". Lineage: Eukaryota; Viridiplantae; Streptophyta; Bryopsida; Funariales; Funariaceae. The record is from RNAcentral.